Molecule: long non-coding RNA, 392 nt
Organism: Danaus plexippus (monarch butterfly)
Lineage: Eukaryota; Metazoa; Arthropoda; Insecta; Lepidoptera; Nymphalidae
Exons: 2
Source: RefSeq, a predicted model, not a curated record
UAUUUGUGUUGAGCCUGGCAGUACUCCGCGCUGUCCAAGCGGAACUCCAUCAAUGUCGCCACAGAACAAAUGCCCAGCUGAAAACAAUACAAUACAACUGUUUACAUCGCGCCCCCUUAAUGACAUCCGUUACUUUGAUGUCACUGUGUGGGUGAGACACAUCAAAAUGAUGGCGCAACUAAAUUUGGCAGAUAGACAGCAAUGGACAUCCACUAUAUAUAAAACUAAUAUUCACUUUCCACAUAAUCAACAUACGUGGUUGCUGAUAGUUCAAUGUUUCGCCGAUAAUAUCAUAUAAAUAAAGAAAUGUUUAUUUGGUAUUUAGUGUUUUACUUAUAAUUUGACUGUAUCAAGACAACACAGAGGAACCUCAGACUUGGGAACGAGCCAAA